Molecule: transfer RNA, 72 nt
Filed under: Phycisphaerales bacterium
Lineage: Bacteria; Pseudomonadati; Planctomycetota; Phycisphaerae; Phycisphaerales
Description: tRNA-Thr
Rfam family: tRNA
About the family: Transfer RNA (tRNA) molecules are approximately 80 nucleotides in length. Their secondary structure includes four short double-helical elements and three loops (D, anti-codon, and T loops).
Source: RNAcentral
GCCGCCUUAGCUCAGUGGUAGAGCUUCGGUUUUGUAAACCGAGGGUCGCCGGUUCGAGUCCGGCAGGCGGCU